Molecule: ribosomal RNA, 525 nt
Filed under: uncultured bacterium
Lineage: Bacteria
Description: bacterial SSU rRNA
Rfam family: Bacterial small subunit ribosomal RNA
Source: RNAcentral
AGAGUUUGAUCAUGGCUCAGAUUGAACGCUGGCGGCAGGCUUAACACAUGCAAGUCGAGCGGAGAUGAGGUGCUUGCACCUUAUCUUAGCGGCGGACGGGUGAGUAAUGCUUAGGAAUCUGCCUAUUAGUGGGGGACAACAUUCCGAAAGGAAUGCUAAUACCGCAUACGUCCUACGGGAGAAAGCAGGGGAUCUUCGGACCUUGCGCUAAUAGAUGAGCCUAAGUCGGAUUAGUUAGUUGGUGGGGUAAAGGCCUACCAAGGCGACGAUCUGUAGCGGGUCUGAGAGGAUGAUCCGCCACACUGGGACUGAGACACGGCCCAGACUCCUACGGGAGGCAGCAGUGGGGAAUAUUGGACAAUGGGGGGAACCCUGAUCCAGCCAUGCCGCGUGUGUGAAGAAGGCCUUAUGGUUGUAAAGCACUUUAAGCGAGGAGGAGGCUACUGAGACUAAUACUCUUGGAUAGUGGACGUUACUCGCAGAAUAAGCACCGGCUAACUCUGUGCCAGCAGCCGCGGUAAUACA